Molecule: non-coding RNA, 619 nt
Organism: Heterocephalus glaber (naked mole-rat)
Lineage: Eukaryota; Metazoa; Chordata; Mammalia; Rodentia; Bathyergidae
Source: RefSeq, a predicted model, not a curated record
ACAACCACAGGCUUUGCUGUGGAACGUGACUCAGAAUUCUGCCUUGAUGUGCUGAGGCUGCCUCAUGAUGAGCUUCAUUGGAAAUGUCUUUUGGUGAGGGGCAAGCCACACACUUCUUGUUUUCCUUCUCUGUAUUCCUCCCAAGAGCCCUUUCUGAACUCCUGGGGUGAAAAAGAAAAUAGUCUGAGAUGGCGUUAUUCUGUUUAAGCAAAGCCUUGACUGUGUGUGGGAGGCACGCCUCAAGCCAUCACCGGAUGGAGUGGUGAAAACUGGGUUUACUGCAUGUCAAGAACAAGCAAAAGGGAAAUGACCCUGGACUAGAAGAACAAAGUGGUCACACAGGAAGUUACUUGAAAUAUUUGGGAUGUUUCCAAAACAAAACUGCUACAACCAAAACAAGGUGAAUACAGCCAACUAUUUACUGAAGUGCUUUGUUCGUCAUGCUUGAAACUACCAGUUCAUCUAAGGAACCAACCACCAGUAUGGUCCAUCAUGAAAAUAAUAUCAAGCUCUGCCAGCUGUAUGAUUCUGGAAGAAUUACGCAACUCUCCUUGACCCAGUUUCCUCACCUGUAAAGUAUUAAUAAUCAUUCUUUUGAUUUAUGAAGGCCUAUAAAGAU